UUUAAUCCCCAGGAACAAGUUGAGGAGCUGGAAGACAGGCUGAAAGAGCUGAAGAACGGCAUCCAGCUUCAGCAGCGCAAGAAUCAAGAGCUGGAAGAGCUGAGGAGCAGCCUCCACCAGGAGCUAUCCAUUUACAAGGGCUGCUUAGAAAUCUAUGGACACCUUUGCAAAUCAGAAGAAAAAGCAGACCAGGACUAUUAGGAAUGAAGGACUUUCCCCCUUUUUAGCAAAAGUGAAGGACAGAGGCAUCUGCAGGGGACAUUUCCCUCUUGCUGCUUAUCCCACCUGAUGUACAGCAGCUGCCUAAAAUCAGAAAUACUAGACAAUCAUUUGCUUGUUUGUAUUUCUUGAGGUGCUGCUGUUGAUCCUCUAAUAAAACUGCUUUUCCAGAGAGGAGCAGAAAAAAGUAUACUUGCACUGAAAAUGGACAUAUAUGAAGAAUAACAGAUGUAUGUUUUGCUGUGUUUGGAAAAUGUAUCUUGUCUUGUUCCAUAGAUGGAUCGUAUAAGCCUGCGCAGAAAGUAUUGUUCUGGAAGCCUGUGUUAUGGGUUUGAUUUUUAAAGUUUACAUGCAAGAGAAGCUUUAUCCUUUUAACAGGAUUUUCUUUUGUAGUUCAAUGGGUCUCUGCUGUAUUGUGACAUGUUCAAUAUGGGUCACAGACUGAAGUUUGUGGAUAAAUAGUUUCCACUUUCUAUAAAAGUCUCACACUGAAAAUAAAGGCCAGAAUUUAAGGA
Struthio camelus australis is the source of this 734-nucleotide non-coding RNA. The record is from RefSeq and is a predicted model, not a curated record. NCBI's taxonomy places the organism in Eukaryota, Metazoa, Chordata, Aves, Struthioniformes, Struthionidae.